GCCAGGUGUGGUGGUGCAUGCCUGUAAUCCCAGUGGUUUGGGAGGCUGAGACAGGAGGAUUGUAAGUUCAAAGCCAGCCUCAGCCAUUUAUUGAGGCCCUAAGCAACUCAGUGAGACCCUGUCUCUA
RNAcentral lists this small RNA (127 nucleotides) under Marmota monax (woodchuck). The record is from RNAcentral. Lineage: Eukaryota; Metazoa; Chordata; Mammalia; Rodentia; Sciuridae.